UUCCAGACUCCUACGGGAGGCAGCAGUGGGGAAUAUUGCACAAUGGGGGAAACCCUGAUGCAGCGACGCCGCGUGAGUGAAGAAGUAUUUCGGUAUGUAAAGCUCUAUCAGCAGGGAAGAAAAUGACGGUACCUGAUUAAGAAGCCCCGGCUAACUACGUGCCAGCAGCCGCGGUAAUACGGAGGAUGCGAGCGUUAUCCGGAUUUAUUGGGUUUAAAGGGUGCGCAGGCGGCCUGUUAAGUCAGCGGUAAAGGCCCGGGGCUCACCCCCGGCGAGCCGUUGAAACUGGCGGGCUGGAGUUGGAGAGAAGUACGCGGAAUGCGCGGUGUAGCGGUGAAAUGCUUAGAUAUCGCGCAGAACCCCGAUUGCGAAGGCAGCGUACCGGCUCCACACUGACGCUGAGGCACGAAAGCGUGGGUAUCGAACAGGAUUAGAUACCCUAGUACGA
RNAcentral lists this ribosomal RNA (448 nucleotides) under uncultured bacterium. RNAcentral describes it as "bacterial SSU rRNA". It matches the Rfam family "Bacterial small subunit ribosomal RNA", at positions 329 to 794 of the family's 1533-position model. The record is from RNAcentral.